RNAcentral lists this ribosomal RNA (42 nucleotides) under Epicoccum nigrum. RNAcentral describes it as "partial 28S ribosomal RNA". Lineage: Eukaryota; Fungi; Ascomycota; Dothideomycetes; Pleosporales; Didymellaceae. The record is from RNAcentral.
UCUUGACCUCGGAUCAGGUAGGGAUACCCGCUGAACUUAAGC